RNAcentral lists this ribosomal RNA (372 nucleotides) under uncultured organism. RNAcentral's name for it is "bacterial SSU rRNA". It matches the Rfam family "Bacterial small subunit ribosomal RNA", at positions 526 to 896 of the family's 1533-position model. The record is from RNAcentral.
CGUAGGGGGCAAGCGUUGUCCGGAUUUAUUGGGCGUAAAGAGCGUGUAGGCGGCCAGGUAGGUCCGUUGUGAAAACUAGAGGCUCAACCUCUAGACGUCGAUGGAAACCAUCUGGCUAGAGUCCGGAAGAGGAGAGUGGAAUUCCUGGUGUAGCGGUGAAAUGCGCAGAUAUCAGGAAGAACACCCGUGGCGAAGGCGGCUCUCUGGGACGGUACUGACGCUGAGACGCGAAAGCGUGGGGAGCGAACAGGAUUAGAUACCCUGGUAGUCCACGCCGUAAACGAUGAGUGCUAGGUGUGGGGGGUGUCGACUCCCUCCGUGCCGAAGCUAACGCAUUAAGCACUCCGCCUGGGGAGUACGGCCGCAAGGCUA